UCAUGACCUGAGCCAAAUCAAGAGUCGAUGCUUAACUGACUGAGCCACCCAGGCAUCCCAUCUCACUAAGUUAUUUUAAACACAUAAGAGUUGUUCACCAGGAAAUUGGUCAAGGUGAAGCUGGUCCCAAUAGCCUAUGCCUAGAAGAAAAUGCCUGUCCAAUGAGUGAGGGUGGGUCUAAAUAAUCCACCAUCUGGAAACUGAGAGGAGGGGGAAAUGGAAAUAUGUCUUCCAUGUUAUCAGAUAAUGGCCUGGAGAUAAGAUGGAGGGAAAGGAGUUUAGGGGUCACAGACUUAUCCCAGGACCCUCUCUCUGGCCAGGAAGCAAGGGAAAGAAACACUUGCUGUCUAUACCUUGGGAAUGUGCAGAGCUAAUGAGGUUCCCACCAGCCUUAUCAGCACCCCCACCCCCAUCUAGAGGGGCCUACAGUCUGUAAAUAUUUUGCUUCAGAAAGGUCCAGAAGGUCAGAAACCUUCAGAACAAUAUUGUCCAGCUGUCCAAACAGGAACUGGUAUUAGAAACAGAAACAGACCCAAGGCAACCUUCUCCACCUCUUUCCACUUUCCACUUUGGCAGGUGGAAAAUAAUCCCAUCAGAGGAAAUACCUGGAAGAGGAAGUUGCAGUGCUGACUGUCCAAAAACUGGAAUCUGGGUUUUGUAGUUUCCCUCUUCAGUGUUGAUCUGCCCAGAGCCACCCAGCUCUGCUUCUCCCUGCCGGCUGCCUUCAACCGGUUGACUGGCAGUUCUGCUUCACAUGGUGUCAUCUGGGGCACUGGCACAGCUGGAAGUUCCAAAAUGGCCUCACUCACAUGGCCAGUAGUUUGUGCGGGCUACAGGCUGGCUUAGAAUGGUCGUGGGUCAGGGGCCUUGGUUCUUCUCCACUUGGACCUUUCCAGAAAGGGCUUUCACACAGCUGCUUGGGUUGCCUUACAAACUGGAGGGUGCGUUCCAAGAAGAAGCAUUUCAAGACAAGAGAUAGAGACAGCCAGCGAGAGAGGGAACACAAGCCGCGGGAGUGGGAGAGGAA
This is a long non-coding RNA of Ailuropoda melanoleuca (giant panda), 1027 nucleotides long. RefSeq lists it as uncharacterized. NCBI's taxonomy places the organism in Eukaryota, Metazoa, Chordata, Mammalia, Carnivora, Ursidae. The transcript is spliced from 3 exons. The record is from RefSeq and is a predicted model, not a curated record.